Molecule: small nuclear RNA, 108 nt
Filed under: Dasypus novemcinctus (nine-banded armadillo)
Lineage: Eukaryota; Metazoa; Chordata; Mammalia; Cingulata; Dasypodidae
Source: RNAcentral
GUGCCCACUUCAGUAGCACAUAUGCUAAAAUUGAGAUGAUGCAAAGAAGAUUAACAUGGCCCCUGCACAAAGAUGAUACACAAAACUAGUGAAGCAUUUCAUAUAUUA